GAUGAACGCUGGCGGCGUGCCUAACACAUGCAAGUCGAGCGAAAACACGAGGAGCUUUCUCCUCUGACGUUAGCGGCGGACGGAUGAGUAACACGUGGAUAACCUACCUAUAAGACUGGGAUAAUAACGGGAAACCAGAUCUAAUACCGCAUCAUAUAUCGAACCGCAUGGUUCAAUAGUGAAAGACGGUUUUGCUGAUACUUAUAGACGGAUCCGCGCCGCAUUAGCUAGUUGGUAAGGUAACGGCUUACCAAGGCAACGAUGCGUAGCCGACCUGAGAGGGUGAUCAGCCACACUGGAACUGAGACACGGUCCAGACUCCUACGGGAGGCAGCAGUAGGGAAUCUUCCGCAAUGGGCGAAAGCCUGACGGAGCAACGCCGCGUGAGUGAUGAAGGUCUUCGGAUCGUAAAGCUCUGUUAUUAGGGAAGAACAAAAGUGUAUGUAACUAUGCACGUCUUGACGGUACCUAAUCAGAAAGCCACGGCUAACUACGUG
This 497-nucleotide ribosomal RNA is filed under the name uncultured bacterium. RNAcentral's name for it is "partial 16S ribosomal RNA". It matches the Rfam family "Bacterial small subunit ribosomal RNA", at positions 28 to 507 of the family's 1533-position model. The record is from RNAcentral.